GUGGGGAAUCUUGGACAAUGGGGGCAACCCUGAUCCAGCCAUGCCGCGUGAGUGAUGAAGGCCUUAGGGUCGUAAAGCUCUUUCGCCAGGGAUGAUAAUGACAGUACCUGGUAAAGAAACCCCGGCUAACUCCGUGCCAGCAGCCGCGGUAAUACGGAGGGGGUUAGCGUUGUUCGGAAUUACUGGGCGUAAAGCGCGCGUAGGCGGACCAGAAAGUUGGGGGUGAAAUCCCGGGGCUCAACCCCGGAACUGCCUCCAAAACUCCUGGUCUUGAGUUCGAGAGAGGUGAGUGGAAUUCCGAGUGUAGAGGUGAAAUUCGUAGAUAUUCGGAGGAACACCAGUGGCGAAGGCGGCUCACUGGCUCGAUACUGACGCUGAGGUGCGAAAGUGUGGGGAGCAAACAGGAUUAGAAACCCUAGUAGUCC
Molecule: ribosomal RNA, 425 nt
Filed under: uncultured bacterium
Lineage: Bacteria
Description: bacterial SSU rRNA
Rfam family: Bacterial small subunit ribosomal RNA
Source: RNAcentral